This is a long non-coding RNA of Salvia splendens (bonfire salvia), 401 nucleotides long. RefSeq lists it as uncharacterized. The transcript is spliced from 2 exons. NCBI's taxonomy places the organism in Eukaryota, Viridiplantae, Streptophyta, Magnoliopsida, Lamiales, Lamiaceae. The record is from RefSeq and is a predicted model, not a curated record.
AUAAAUCCGCAAUACAUUGGUUUAGGUUUUGUACAAAUCCAGAAAUGGUUUCCAAAAGUAUGGCUCUUUUCUUAGUUAUAGCUCUUCUCAUUUCCUCAAUACAAGUUGCAGACGCUCGACACCUCAAGAAUAAGAAGAUGAGAAGUUAUGCACGUGAUGGAUUUGAGUGCCCCAGAGGAUGUUGUUAUCCACGCCCUAUCGGCCGACGAGGAGAUUGCCAAUGCUGCCGUUAGCACCUUUCCUUCCAACAUUUUCUGUUUAAUGUAAUUUUAUUUUAUGCUCUUAAAAUAAAGAUCACUUGACUAAAACUAAGUUAAUAAAUUAUAGUUAUAAUUAUAUUUAAGAUUAAUGUCUCCCGCUGUUAUUCCUUUUUAAUAUAUGUCAGUGCGUUUUUUGUCAAA